Molecule: long non-coding RNA, 235 nt
Organism: Pseudopipra pipra
Lineage: Eukaryota; Metazoa; Chordata; Aves; Passeriformes; Pipridae
Exons: 3
Source: RefSeq, a predicted model, not a curated record
AGCUCCAGCAGGAACUGCCACAGCUGGAUCUGUCCGCUGCCUGCAAGGCCGAGCCCCAGAGAGGUUAAAGCUCCCUCCCAGGGCACAAGAUGCAGAAGAUGGUAACAAGGUUAUGUCUCCUUUGCAGCACCCCUACUCCAUCCUGCCCCUCAGCCCCAAGAAGGAGAUGUCUUGGAAGCACUCAGACUUAACCCAGCACAAAUAUUCCCCACUGCCACAUCUGCUUGAAACUGGG